This is a long non-coding RNA of Rhopalosiphum maidis (corn leaf aphid), 878 nucleotides long. RefSeq lists it as uncharacterized. The transcript has 4 exons. Lineage: Eukaryota; Metazoa; Arthropoda; Insecta; Hemiptera; Aphididae. The record is from RefSeq and is a predicted model, not a curated record.
ACUCUUCGGACUCCCCAGUUCCCCACUAUGGGGCAACCUUUAUGUGCGAGAGCACCGAGAGUUGAGAAUGCCCAGCGCAGCGGAAUACAAAUUUCGGUCAGUUACGGUACACGUUUUAAGUGUUCUCGCGUUGCAUCGAGUUUAUCACGGUAUUACAAUAUAAUAGUAUGUUUUAUGGUGAUACUGUAUCAGCAUAAUAUAUCGGCAAUACGCGUUACGACGCAUUUCCCUCUCGCCGUACUGCCCGCGGCCUGCGUUCUGCGAACGUGGGGCAAAGGCGCCGUCGGGGCUAGCCUAUGUGGACGAAAUAUCUUCAAGUCCAACGAAUUCAAUAGAUCUAAAAUAUCGAGUUAUCGUUUUAACAAACAGUGAACGGCGUCUGUAGUAGCAGCGACGAAAUGAAGCGCCGACAGUGUCGCUUGAAAAGCCGUAAGGCUACAACUCGACUGAUUCCGAUCGAUAAUUCUUCCCGACGAGAUGGCGAAUCGCGUUAAUAUCCAAACAUUGACGACUUUACGGUUGUCCCGCGGUUGUAGUAGAACAAUUGCACAAAAGUGUAAACCAAAGAAUUCAUGGGAUUUUUGGUCUCUUUUCACAUUACUUUCAAAAGUUGGACACUAUGGAUUCGAAAACUUUAGAUAAACAGGAAAUUAUAUUUAAAUCUAAAGUUUGGAAACCAGAAAAUUUUUCAAAGCAGUGCAAAUUAAAAUAAGUAUUGAAUAUGGAUCAAUAUAUGAGGAAUUUUAAACAAAAUUUUGUACAUAUUGGCAGCGACUUAAAUGUUGAUAUAAACCCAUUAGUUCAAUUGAUUUUUACAUAAAAAAAUUGUAUCUGUAAUUGAUGGUCUUGAAAAAGCAACUAAUUUUUUUGAAUGACAG